CUUACUUAUUUCACUUUGGAGAAAUGACCAAGGAAUAAAAUAACUCUGAAAACAUUUUUAUAAGCAGUGAAUUAUAAAUUCCAUUCCCUAUAUAUAUGCUAAUUAGAAUUCCAUUACAAUCAAAUGAGUGUCUUCAGUCAGCCUGAAUUAGUGUCAUUGUUCUGAUUUGAAACAACAACAACAAAAAAUCAAGAAACAUCAGAUUUUAUCACUUCGUCCCCUCAGAAAGGUGAUUGAGCCACUGAGGUGCAUCCCAGUCUUUUUUACUUUAUUGGAGGCAGUCUAAGUUGCCCAGGCUGGCCGUACCCUUCUCAAGCUGGAGGUCACAGGCAUCUGCUGCCAUGCCUGGCUGAAAUAUAUAUUUUUUUCUUUUACACCAAAACUUCCUGUCAGUGUGUCUGAACAGCUUAUGGGUGUCAGGAGAGAUGCAAGUCUGUGUGGCUUCAUGGCCAACCCAUAAGACGUGCAAACAGCACUUCACGGAAAAUUAACUUUUUGCCAAACGUGGCAUUUGGGUGUUUGUUUUGGUUUUUGCAGUGACUUUAAAUGUGUGCAGAAAACAUUAAUAGGUGUCAGUCCAUGUGGUGCCAACAGUCACCUUUCUGAACCACUUCAGGGUGGUAAAUGAGAGCACUGGAGUAGGAGUCUUGAUUUGUCCCAGGCCCUGGUGCUAGUCUCUCCACUCACUCUAUGGCCCUGAGUAAGUCCCCAGUUCUUUGAACUUGACUUUGUCAUCUCUUGAGUGGGGCAGCUGGACUAGCCCAGUGGUUCUCAACCAAGGGUCAUUUUACCACCUACCCACCCUUGUCCCCAAGAGGAUAUUGGGUAAUGUCUGGAGACAUUUGCUUGUCGCACCACUGGGCAGGGAGGGGCAUAGUGAGUGAGGGCAGGUACUAAGGGCAUCUUUUUACUGUGGACCAGAAAUGCCACAAACAUCCUAAAAGUACACUGGACAACCUACACACAGCACAAGAUCAUCUUACUGAGAAUGUCAGUGGUGUGCACUACAGGAGCCUGCACUGUCCAGACUUUGACACCAACAGCUGAGCAGCUCCACCCGACACACUCUCCUCAGUGGUUGUGUGCUAAACAGUGACUCAUUAAACACGAAACUCGCCUGUGACCCCGUCAGACCUGCAGACUGAUGAACUCGCCUGAGUCAGGGUGGAGGUCCUUCCUGUGGACUUGAAAAGCAAAAUAUAAUUGUUACCUAAAAAUACAUCUUGUCACCUUUAUUUCAAGUUAAUAUCCUUUAUUAGCCACUUGACAUAACAUAUCUAAUAUGGUAAUAUUAGAUAUGUUAUAUUUUUUAAAACACUAUUGGGACUCAAUAUUUAAAGUUUAAAAAAUACAUUGCCAGCCCUUUUUAUUUUUAUACUAUGAGAUAGGGUCUCUAUAAGUUGCUGAGGGUGACUCUGAACUUGUGAUUGUCCUGCCUUCUGAGUCACCAGGAUUACAGGCUUGUGCCACAAGCCCAGCUUAUAUUUUUAUUUUACAUAGUUAUAAAAGCUUAUUAUUUCACAUAGUUAUAAAUAGUUGCCAGCUAUGAUCAUAGAUAAACAAGAAGAGGAAAACAAGAUACUUAAUAAUAUCUUUUUUUUAAAAGAACUUGUUAGAAGAGUCCUCCAAAUGUUAUCAAAGAAUUAUCCUGUUCCCAGUUAUUAAAAUAUCUUUCUCACUUUCAGAAUCCUAAUAGUACCAUUAAAACUGACUUGACGCCCAUAGUCACAGCUACCCAGAAAGUUGAGGCAGGCAGAUCACUUGGUCCCAAGAGUUCAAAGCCAGCCUGGGCGACAUAGAUCCUAUCUCAAGGGGGUGGGAGAUCACAUCACCAUGGACAAUUCUUUAUGAAUUCUGAAUCCUGACGUUCUAAUCAAGCACAGUGGCACAUACCUGUAAUCCCAACAGUAGGAGGAUCUUGAGUUUGAGGCUAGCCUCAGCAACUUAGCAAGAUCCUGUGACAAAAUAAAUGGGGAAAGAAAAAAAAGGACUAAAGCUGCAGCUCAGUUCUAAAGCACCCCAGGGCUCAAGCCCGGAACCAAAAGGAGGAAAGAGAAGUAUAUAAACCUACGUCGUUACGUUUUUUGUCUUGUUACUUUAAAACCAAGUGCAACUAUAUAAUUUAAAACAACUCAAAACUAAUUAAGAGAACUCAUCAAGUUCUUCCUAAAUUGGUUCUGAUUUACAAUUAUUAUCUUGAGCACAUAUUUUUAAGCAAACCCUUUAAAAUCUAUACACUGGUACUGAAAUUAAGCUUAGUUUGAAUAUAUACAGUAUAAUGUAAAUACUUCAGGAGAUUUAGUUUACAAGGUCAUAUUUUUUUUGCAAAAAUUAGCAUAAUACAGGCAUAUCUGAAGCAAAAUUUAAAUAUUCUCCCCUAUCCUAUUCCCAUUAAAUUUAGUGUGUACCUUUUUAGAUUUUUUUUUUUCUUUAUCAGUACAGGGGACUGAACCUAGAGGUGUUCUAACAGUGAGCUACGUCCCCAGUGCUUAUUACUUUGAGACAGGGUCUUGGAGCUCGGCCUCGGCUUCCUGAGUGCUGGGAUUAUAGGGGCGCACCCUUACACAGCCUUCAGGUUUUCUCUGCACAGUUUUAGCUAGCACAUAGAUUGGAUUGUCAAAUCAGGCUCACGUGAGUCAGUAAUAAAAGCCAGGAUUAAGGUUUAGUGAUUAUUUAAAGAAUACAGGCAAUUGGGAGAUUCCAGUGAAUCAGAAGAGCAUGUGGUACGUGAAAGCUCUCUCUCCAGGCUGUGUCCCCUAGUUGGUCCUGUGUCCCUGACCCAGGAUAAUAGAUAAGGGUUUUAAGUGAGUUUCACUUCACGCGGUGGAUUGUGAAUCAGCUUCUUGUAGUAUGGCUUACAUGAUGUUAUUCACAAAACAGUGCCUCAUCAAUUUUGGAUUUAUUUACUGCCAGUGACUCUUUGCCAGGGACAUCUUACUAAUGGGACUCAGAGAGGGGGUUUCUUCCUCCUAGCAACUACCAUUAAGCUCUUUUUCCCCCAUUAUUUUUUUAUUGGUGCUUUAUAGUUUCACAUAAUGGAGGGAUUUGUUGUUAAAUAUUCUUAGUUGCUGUGAUCAGGCUCUUAAUUCCAGGGCCCAGGAGACCUGGAGGCUAGGAAUUCCCGUGUCUAG
RNAcentral lists this long non-coding RNA (3131 nucleotides) under Marmota monax (woodchuck). Lineage: Eukaryota; Metazoa; Chordata; Mammalia; Rodentia; Sciuridae. The record is from RNAcentral.